CGUCUUCAUCGGAACCCCACACCUCAUCAUCCUCUUUCAAGGUCCGCCACCCACGCGUACUCGCGCGUGCCUUGCUCUGGUUGCUGAAGCCGAGGGUUGAACCAGUCUUGGACAGCCGCGGUGAUGACGGAGAAGACGGAGACGAGAGGCGUCGCCGGAUCGAAGCUGGUCCAAGCUGCAGCCGCUCCGCCAUUCCGCCACCGCGUCGCGUCGGACAGUGCGCCUCCACUACCUGCACCGCCACGGGUCUCAGCAAGCCGUCUCUCCAUGAUCUCUUCAUUCGAGUUCGCCGGAAACGUCGACGGGACUUUGACGACUUGGCAGUUGGCGCGAUGAGCUUCUUGACGGCACCACCUCCAUGGCGAAUCCGUUUAAGUCUGUGACGAUAGGGUCGAGGUUUGGACGCCGAAAGGAGAGGAAAAUAGAGAGAUAGAAACAGAGAGAGAUAGAGAGAAGGUGGUGGCUGAUUCGUGGGGUGUGUUGGGUGUAGGAUGCAUGCAUGGGAUUCAUGGAAUGGGUAGUGGGCUGGUUGGAUGAGUAACAAAAGUGGCCAUGGCGAGAGUGCUAUGAUAAUCGGCAAUAUCAACGAUCAACAAGAAGAAAAUAAUCCAGAAAAUCCAUGAAAUAUAACAUAUAAUCCAAUCCAAGCUGAUAAGCAAUGCCAAAUAAACCCAAAAUGAGGAAGAAACGAGAAGAACAUGAAUCAAACGGGGUAAAAGACCUACCUCAAGCUCGCCUGCAGCAGUUUUUCU
RNAcentral lists this long non-coding RNA (752 nucleotides) under Vitis vinifera (wine grape). RNAcentral's name for it is "long non-coding RNA (VVIN_LNC003478)". The record is from RNAcentral. Lineage: Eukaryota; Viridiplantae; Streptophyta; Magnoliopsida; Vitales; Vitaceae.